This 591-nucleotide long non-coding RNA is filed under the name Zalophus californianus (California sea lion). RNAcentral describes it as "lncRNA (ENSZCAG00015014323.1)". Lineage: Eukaryota; Metazoa; Chordata; Mammalia; Carnivora; Otariidae. The record is from RNAcentral.
AAAAAAUCCAGUUGAUAUUUUGCCGAAUUUGAAUAGCAACCAGAAAAGAAGGUCAAGUUUUAAAAGAAGCAACACGGGAGGGGAUUGUAAUUAAAUCUGCUCUGGGCUGGGUACAGAUGAUUCAUUUCAAGUACACAGCAUUCUGGAAAGCACGUGACCAAAGGUAUUUUUCUAAAUAACCUCAAGUGCUAGUCAAGUUAUUCUUUAAAUUGCAUGCCAGCGACAUCUCCUAACUGGUAUUUCGCUUGGCAGGCGCUGAGCCACCGCCACAGCCUGGAUUUUCCUGCAGGCAGAGCCCGGCCUUGUUUUGACAGUCAUUUCUGCUGCUUUCUGCUUCUGCUUGGAAGGAGCACACAGUUGCAGAGGUCUGGGGAAGGAUGCCCUUGGAAGCUUCCAUCAAAACAAUUAGGAGACCCCAGGCAGCUGUCUUCUGGAAACCUCCGUCCAACAGCAGCAGUUCUCCACCCACCAGGCCACUCCCAGCAUCCAAAUGGUUUCCAAAGGUGCAGUCAGGUUAGUACACCUUGACUCUGCUCUUGGGUAAGGCUAGGUCCUGGCAUGACAGUGUGACCCAAGCUGAGCCCAUCAGAG